Molecule: long non-coding RNA, 442 nt
Organism: Cucumis melo (muskmelon)
Lineage: Eukaryota; Viridiplantae; Streptophyta; Magnoliopsida; Cucurbitales; Cucurbitaceae
Exons: 3
Source: RefSeq, a predicted model, not a curated record
AGAACAUCGAAUACUGCCUAACUUCUUAUUCAUUUGUGUAUUGAUUCUUCCUUUACAAAUGCACUGGUGGAUGACAAGUUUGUGAGGGACGUAGUCAAGUUCUCCAACAAAACUUCCACUUUUGGACAGGCUUUUGUAUAUGAGAACAAAAACUAGUGAAAUUCUCAAGAUUAUCAUGGCUCCUCUUUGUCUGCAAACGAUUAGCAUUGCAACAUUUGCAAAAAAGGUGUGGGUAAAAUGAAACCUUGCCAAAGCAAAAGCAAAAGAAAAAGAAAACCAACAAUGACAACUCAAUUACAUUGAUAAUAUAACCUUGAGUACUCAAUGAAUCAAGCGUAUUUUGAGAGCUAGAAAAUUAUUAUAUUCCAGAAAAUUACUCAAUACUUUAUUUUGUAACGUUGAUGUUAUCAAUGGAAGUUAUGGUGUUUGGUUUGUUAUGAAA